Salvia miltiorrhiza (redroot sage) is the source of this 1426-nucleotide long non-coding RNA. RefSeq lists it as uncharacterized. The transcript is spliced from 3 exons. The record is from RefSeq and is a predicted model, not a curated record. NCBI's taxonomy places the organism in Eukaryota, Viridiplantae, Streptophyta, Magnoliopsida, Lamiales, Lamiaceae.
UCACUUUAUUAAUUAUAGCCAGCAGCCUCCAUUAAUUCAUUUAUCUCCACCCUAAAGCAAAGAAAACCUCCUACAAAUCACACACAAACUGUAUCAUAUCAUAUGCACAUAUACGAUAUAUGAGAAGCUCAUCAAACAUAUCUACUGUAGAAUAUAAUGGAUGAAGAAUAUGAUGAUCGGUAUGCAGAAUUGAAGAAGAAGCCCACGUGAAGAAGAGAAGAUGAUGGCCUUAAGAGGGAUAUUUUUUAUGAUUGUGGUGGCAGUAUCCCUCUUGAUUCUGCCGCUCAUCCUGCCGCCGCUGCCGCCCCCGCCGUUGAUACUCCUCCUUGUCCCCGUCGCCAUCAUGGUGGUGCUCUUUUUCUUGGCCUUCGCGCCGCCCUUGCCGCCGGCGUUGCCUUAAUAAAUGAUGUAGUACUGUCAACUAUGGAUAUUCAAGAGAGGAAAAAAUGUACCGGCCAAUCCAUUUUCUCACAUUUUCACUCCAAUUCAUGCUAAUAUGAUCACAAGCUAUGUUGCAUAGGUAUGAUAAUAUUUUCUCAUAUUGUAUAUUUUAUUAUCUUUCAAUUUUACCAUCAAAAUUACAAUUAUUUAACUCAUCACUCUAUAUUUUUCCUUCUCUCUCUUUCUCUCUCUCUCUCUCUCUCUCUCUCUCUCUCUUCAACUUUCUCUCUAUCUUUUCUCUCUCUUCAUAAUAUUUUCAUACUAUAUUUAAUUUUUCACCAAAGAGAAUACGAGAUAAAAAGAGUGGGGACCAUUAAAAUAUGAUAAUUUUUUCUCAUUUCUUAGUUUCCCUUAUUUUCUCAUGAUAAACUUAUAAUCAAAGAGAACACAUUCUAAGGUGACGUUUUCUUUGCAUGAUUAAUAAGAUGCAUGAUUGAGUAUUGCAAUCCCACUUUUUGAAUGAGAUAAUCAAGCAAAACUAGCUUAAAUGAUAUAUAUAUAUAUAUAAAAAAAAGAUUUUAAGAUAUCUCAAAGUUUCAAUUUAUCAAAAUAAAUAAAGAAUUAAUAUUAUUAUUUUUAUCUAUCAAGACUAAUAUUAGAGUAAACGCCCCUAAAUAAUUAGUCAAACUUAUUAUUGCUCGUGUAUAGUAUUAAUAUUUAAACUAGAGCAAUUUACAAUUAAACUAGACUAUAUUCCUAAUUAUUAAUUUAAUUUGGGGUAAACUGAUAUAUAUGAAUGACUAUUUCUUUUGUUUUAUUACAAAUGUCUCGUUAUUUUUAGACACGAAGAUUAAGAAAUGUGUAAUUAGUAGAUAAAGUGGAUUGAUAAAAGUUAUUUAAAUAUUAUGUAUAGAGGGAGAAUGUAUAGUCAAAGAAAAGAAUGAGAUAUUUGUAAUGAAACAUUUAAUUAUGAAAAGUGAGAUAUUUGUAAUUAGACCGAUGAAGUAUUAUUUUUUUUAUGUUAAUGACUAUUUUUACGUAGGCA